GUUUCAGCCGCCGCGGUAAAACGUAGGUACCGAGCGUUAUCCGGAUUUACUGGGCGUAAAGCGCGUUCAGGCGGCUUAGCAAGUCGGGCAUGAAAUCUCUCGGCUCAACCGGGAGGGGCUGUCCGAUACUGCUGGGCUUGAGGGCAGUAGAGGGUGGUGGAAUUCCGGGUGUAGUGGUGAAAUGCGUAGAGAUCCGGAGGAACACCAGUGGCGAAGGCGGCCACCUGGACUGCCCCUGACGCUGAAACGCGAAAGCUAGGGGAGCGAACGGGAUUAGAUACCCCGGUAGUCC
Molecule: ribosomal RNA, 292 nt
Filed under: uncultured bacterium
Lineage: Bacteria
Description: partial 16S ribosomal RNA
Rfam family: Bacterial small subunit ribosomal RNA
Source: RNAcentral